Non-coding RNA from Pogona vitticeps (central bearded dragon), 476 nucleotides. Lineage: Eukaryota; Metazoa; Chordata; Lepidosauria; Squamata; Agamidae. The record is from RefSeq and is a predicted model, not a curated record.
CGGGAGGAAGGGGGAAGAACCGGUUUUAUCGUCCCCCAGGCCCGGCUGGCAGCGCUGAAUGGCCCUCCCUACCUUGCUGCGCCCCUGUGAACGUGCCAAGAGGAGUUGGUGAAAUGUCCUUCUUCACUGGAACUAUUUACAGCCAUCCAUUUAAAAACAACAACAACACACAAUGAUAUUAUGCUAUAACAUCACACAUUCUGAUCCAAGAUGGUUCUCCAAUCAAUAGAACACAAAUCAGAUUAUGAUGAUUACUUCUGUGCCAAACAGUGUGAAACAGAUGAUGAAGAGAUUCUACAACCCAGAAAAAUUUUGAGGUUUUUGAAAACAUGCAUCCGCCGCUCCCUAACAACAUUUUGCUUUAUGCAUGGUUAUGCAGUUCUAGAAACAGUGAGGUAUUUAGAAACAUCUCAGAUGCUGUCAUUUCUGCUGGUGAACUUAAAAUAAAUUAUAGAUAUUAAUUAAGUGUUACAACA